Molecule: unclassified non-coding RNA, 2455 nt
Filed under: Nilaparvata lugens (brown planthopper)
Lineage: Eukaryota; Metazoa; Arthropoda; Insecta; Hemiptera; Delphacidae
Description: uncharacterized LOC111048099, transcript variant X1
Source: RNAcentral
ACUCUGGAUAUCACGUUUUCCUCUGUUUUCCGGUUGCUUCUCGACUCGCACUUGCAUGGCCAUGGCCACAUCCGCCACAUGGCCAUCUCGCAUCUUUAGAGGUUAACUAUCAACAUUUCAUCUAAAAGCAAAACCAUGAAUCAACCUCAAGAAAAAUUAGUUGAACAUCUAUUGAGAAAAUCAUUGCUAUUCAAAAAUAAAUGUUCAGCUUCUUAUAGGAUUAUACAAAGCAGAUUGACAAAUCAAAGCUUGGAGGUGGCAUCACAGAGUGAAUUGAGUAUAAAUUUUACCAAACAGAAGAAUCUACUGAAAGUAUGCCAAUGGUGUUCCUGUUAUUGGUCAGAAGGGAUGUACUCGUUCAAAAUAGAGCCUCAGAAACGCACAAGUAAAUUCAUGCGCUCUUUGUUGAACAGAGAUGUGGGAAUAUUGACUGAAAUGCAGGUGAAGCGGAGAAACAAAUGUACGAGUCGAUGCAAUAGAAUGGUUGUGACGUGUCAUGUAUGUAAAAAGGAAACUAAAGUACCUCUACAAAAGCCGGACCUCAUUACCAAUAAACUCCAGUCGAGUGAGCAGACCACCCUUCCAUUGAAAUCCAAGAAGAAAAAGAAAAAGAAGGACUCUUAUGCUGGCUUGAAGUCGGAAGCAGUUCUCAAGUGCAAAAUAACCGGUACAGAAAAUCAAUCAACAAUUCCUGGUCCAGAGCAUAAACAAUCGAACAAUGCUUCAAAUAUUGUUACAACUUCAACGAUAAAUAGUAAUCUAUCUACUACUUCUAAUAAUACAAAUUCUGUGUUUAGUAUUCAGAAUAGGCAUUUGAAGAAAAAGAAGAAAAAUAAAAUGAAUAUUGGAAAGUUGAAACAUACUCUUGCGAAAGAGAUGAAGAGUAAUGUGCCAACAAUUUCGUCAACAGAAACUAAGAAAAAGAGCAAUAACUCUCUACUCUCUGCGUUUCUCACAUCGUUAUAAUGUGAGGAAUUAGUGUAGUGCUACACAUAAUAGUAGAGUGGAAAAAUUGUGAAUGUUUUAAUAAUGCACUUGUCUUUUUAUUAAGUUUUAUCUCAAACGUUAUUACAGAUCAUGAUUUCAAAAGUCGAUAUUACUCUUCAUUAAUGUUUUACUGAACAAAUCAAAAUUAACUGGUUUAAAAAUAUAGGCAGUAUAUCUUUUUUGAGGUUGCAACUAGAUUAAUUGAAACAUUUUCCAAUUUAUUGAAACUAUAAUUGCAAUUUAGCAAUUAUUGCACAAUUUGAAUUAUUGAAUGGUCUUUCACAGAUUGAUUUAACAUUGAAUUUUUAUAGAAUGUAUAAACGUUCACUGAAUGAACUAUCAUAGUAAUGGCCGGUUGCAUAGUCGUCACAUAACUUUAUUGGCUCGUAUUUAACCUAUGUGCAUCCACAUAAACACAAUUUGCGUUUUACAGACGCCACACUGCUAUGUGGGAUGGUAAACUGAAUCAAGUACAGGUAUUAUCAGUCUAAUCGUCUUCUUCUUCUGACUUCUACGGUAUAGGCAUGAUUGCCUGUUACGGUCUUUAAAAUAGCCUUGGAAAUUAACAUUCAUCAAAAAUAUAAGUUAAAAUUUAACUUUAUGAUCGUGUCUAGUUUUAAGACACGGUAGUUUUAACACCUUUUCCUUGGUCUUCCAACGUCUCUCUUACCUGAUGGUUUAUAGUUGAGACCUUUCACAGGGAUUCUACCGGUUGGCAUUCCAUCUAUUUAGAAACUUUUUAAUUUCUUCAUUGGCUCAACCUCGAGCUCCUCUCGAAUGUCCUCAUUCCGGAGUAGAUCCAAUCUUGUGCAUCCCUUUACACUCCUUAGAAAGCGCAUCUCAGCCGCUUGGAUUCUGCUGAUUUCUUUUCUACCUAGUACCCAUGAUUCGCUUCCAUACGUCAACUCUGGGAUAGCCAUGGUCUUGUAGAAUUUCAGCUUUGUAACUCUCCUUACUUUAUUUUUCAAUGCCCUAUGAAUUGUUCCACAAAUAUAUUGGAUUUUUUUUAACUUAUUGAAAAUAUCUUCAUCUUUUUCGUAGGUUAGAGUACAACCCCAAUAAGUAAAGGCUCAAACUUACUCCAAGAUAGAAUCUCCAUUCACAAUUUUUGUUCGGACUAGCCAUUUUCCUUUGAAAGCAAUUACUUUUAUCUUUGUAGCUGAAACUCGAAGGUCUUACUCCACACAGAUUUUUGUCAGUUGAUAAAUGGACAGUCUAAUCGUAUUACACUAAAUUAUCGCAAAUUUCAGAUGAAAAGUUCAGUUAGCGUUUCCUAAUUUGAACUUCAAACGACUUAAUAUCCCUGUGUGCUCAGCAGCAGAGGUUUGCUUACAAAGACAUCAAACAAAUCUGCUUUUAACCGAAAUUGAGAGUUUUACAGAAUAUCUAUUCAUUACAUCCUCCUUUUAAUCAAUGAUUAAAGAUAUCAAGACAUGAUUCCCACAGAAAAGCCUCCUAAUUAAUAAAA